GAUGAACGCUGGCGGCGUGCUUAACACAUGCAAGUCGAACGAUGAAGCCCAGCUUGCUGGGUGGAUUAGUGGCGAACGGGUGAGUAACACGUGAGUAACCUGCCCUUAACUCUGGGAUAAGCCUGGGAAACUGGGUCUAAUACCGGAUAGGAGCGUCCACCGCAUGGUGGGUGUUGGAAAGAUUUAUCGGUUUUGGAUGGACUCGCGGCCUAUCAGCUUGUUGGUGAGGUAAUGGCUCACCAAGGCGACGACGGGUAGCCGGCCUGAGAGGGUGACCGGCCACACUGGGACUGAGACACGGCCCAGACUCCUACGGGAGGCAGCAGUGGGGAAUAUUGCACAAUGGGCGCAAGCCUGAUGCAGCGACACCGCGUGAGGGAUGACGGCCUUCGGGUUGUAAACCUCUUUCAGUAGGGAAGAAGCGAAAGUGACGGUACCUGCAGAAGAAGCACCGGCUAACUACGUG
Molecule: ribosomal RNA, 466 nt
Filed under: uncultured bacterium
Lineage: Bacteria
Description: partial 16S ribosomal RNA
Rfam family: Bacterial small subunit ribosomal RNA
Source: RNAcentral